RNAcentral lists this ribosomal RNA (755 nucleotides) under uncultured bacterium. RNAcentral describes it as "bacterial SSU rRNA". It matches the Rfam family "Bacterial small subunit ribosomal RNA", at positions 90 to 842 of the family's 1533-position model. The record is from RNAcentral.
AGUUAGUGGCGAACGGGUGAGUAAUAUAUCGGAACGUACCCUAGAGUGGGGGAUAACCAGUCGAAAGAUUGGCUAAUACCGCAUACGAUCUACGGAUGAAAGUGGGGGACCGCAAGGCCUCAUGCUCAUGGAGCGGCCGAUAUCUGAUUAGCUAGUUGGUGGGGUAAAGGCCCACCAAGGCGACGAUCAGUAGCUGGUCUGAGAGGACGAUCAGCCACACUGGGACUGAGACACGGCCCAGACUCCUACGGGAGGCAGCAGUGGGGAAUUUUGGACAAUGGGGGAAACCCUGAUCCAGCAAUGCCGCGUGAGUGAAGAAGGCCUUCGGGUUGUAAAGCUCUUUUGUCAGGGAAGAAAAGGCUCUGGUUAAUACCUGGGGUUCAUGACGGUACCUGAAGAAUAAGCACCGGCUAACUACGUGCCAGCAGCCGCGGUAAUACGUAGGGUGCGAGCGUUAAUCGGAAUUACUGGGCGUAAAGGGUGCGCAGGCGGUUGUGCAAGACAGAUGUGAAAUCCCCGGGCUUAACCUGGGAAUGGCAUUUGUGACUGCACGGCUAGAGUGUGUCAGAGGGGGGUAGAAUUCCACGUGUAGCAGUGAAAUGCGUAGAUAUGUGGAGGAAUACCGAUGGCGAAGGCAGCCCCCUGUGAUAACACUGACGCUCAUGCACGAAAGCGUGUGGAGCAAACAGGAUUAGAUACCCUGGUAGUCCACGCCCUAAACGAUGUCAACUAGUUGUCGGGUCUUAAUUGACUUG